Molecule: ribosomal RNA, 374 nt
Filed under: uncultured Glomeromycotina
Lineage: Eukaryota; Fungi; Glomeromycota
Description: LSU rRNA
Source: RNAcentral
UUGAAAGGGAAACGAUUGAAGGCAGUCGUACCAGCGGGAAAUCAACCUUUCGAGUGGGGUUUUGGAGUUUUGAAGUGUGUCAAAACCUUUGAGAUUUCAAAAUAUUCGCUCUUUUGGUGUACUUUCUCGUGGGUAGGUUAACAUCGAUUUUGAUCAUCAUAAAAAGAUUGGAGGAAUGUAGCUUCGAUCUUGUAUUGAAGUGUUAUAGCCUUUGGUAAAUGUGAUGAUUAGGAUCGAGGAUUGCAACGAAUACCCUUUUGGGCUAUCCGCCUGAUCUCUGAUACGUGGCCUUGGUAUCGAAAGCGUGCUUAUGGUAUUGAGGUAUUACGGUCAAAAGGUUAGAACGGAUUACAUUCGUUAAGGAUGUUGACGUA